UACGAAGGGUGCAAACGUUGCUCGGAAUUAUUGGGCGUAAAGAGCUCGUAGGCGGCUUGUCACGUCGGGUGUGAAAGCCCGGGGCUUAACCCCGGGUCUGCAUUCGAUACGGGCUGGCUAGAGUGUGGUAGGGGAGAUCGGAAUUCCUGGUGUAGCGGUGAAAUGCGUAGAUAUCUGGAGGAAUACCGGUGGCGAAGGCGGCAUCCUGGACCAUAACUGACGCUGAGGCGCGAAAGCUAGGGGAGCAAACGGG
Molecule: ribosomal RNA, 253 nt
Filed under: uncultured bacterium
Lineage: Bacteria
Description: partial 16S ribosomal RNA
Rfam family: Bacterial small subunit ribosomal RNA
Source: RNAcentral